Long non-coding RNA from Meleagris gallopavo (turkey), 3148 nucleotides. Lineage: Eukaryota; Metazoa; Chordata; Aves; Galliformes; Phasianidae. The record is from Ensembl.
AUGGGGAUUCAGUGGGGUCCCCCAACCUUCAUUUCUUUUUGCAAUCCAUCACCUCUGUUUUGCUCACAGAAGGAAUCCGUGCUGCUGAGCGUGGUGGCUGCUUGCUCCGGAGUGUUUAUCUCCUUGGACUGUUUGAUAGAGCAAAGCCUCAGGAGGAGCAUGGCCACACAUCUGCCGGCUAUCCAAGAGCGAUCCCAAGAAGCUUGGAGAGCACUGAUAGAGGAGAACUCCAUCGCUCCAGAAACCUCACCACUCCCAAAUGUAUUAAUGAAAAAAAUAAUGAGAAUUAGUGGAAGAAAAAAAAAAAAAAAAGAAAAGCUAAGCUCUUUCCCGGUUAUUUAACACAGGAAGGAAAAGCUCCAGAGAUCAUCGUAUCAUUCCUCAGCAUGUCCAUCUCAGCACCAGUACACACAGAGGAAAACCACAGCCCCUUCCAGCCAGACCCUCACCUCAGGCUCAGGACCAGAAGUGAAUUCAGCAUCUUGCAGACCUGAGGGAUGAGCUCGGCUGAGAUGACUCUUAAAAGUGGAGCCAGAGAGAUGGGAACUUGUAGGUGUCGAGUGGUGAUGGGUCAGAAGAGGCCAUCACACAGCUGUGUGCUCGGGGAACAGGGCUGAGCUCAAAACAUUUUAAUGAUAUUUAAGUUUUUGCCUCCUUCUCGCCGUCCACAUUUGUCCAGUUCUACCUUGGAUCCUCACCUCUGACUUGAGAACUGAAUUAUGUGUGGUGCAAACAAGUCCUGUCUUUGUUUUAAAACUUCUUUCACUCGAUGUCUUCUGUUUCUCACAUUGUAAGGAAGAAUAAUCACUCCUUCCUUGCCCUUCCCUGCUGCUCAGGUUUUUAUAGACCUCUGCCACAGCUCCCAUCUGUCAUCCCUCUCCUAUGCUGAUAAGCACCAGGUUAUUUAACUUUCCUCACACAAAGCUGUUCCACCCUUCCGGUCUCCUUUGACACCCCUCUAAAUUGUCACCUAGGGAGAACUGAUGUCUCAAUGCAGCAGUUUGGAGCCACCAGACAUGCACAAGAAAUGCACAAACAAUGCCCUGUGUCUGGCUGAAACCUCUAGAAGUGAAAAUCUGAUUAUACCCACUUUUAACCAUCUCACAGCUACCCGGAACAGUCUUUCAGGCAGUGAUCUGACUUCUUAAAAUGGCAAGUCUUGAAUCACCAAGCCGCUCUGAACUGCUCUCUGUGAUGAGUUCAGCUCAGUCGUCCUGCUCUCCUGUCUUCUGGUUCCCAGAAACCAUGAAAAAGUCAGAGAAAAACAUAUACGUAAUAAAUUCAUGAUGGAUCUCCAAGGAAUUUCUUGUCCCUUUCUUGAGCGGGUCAAGGUUGGACCCAUAGAAAUGAGUGGGGAAAAAGGUGGUGAGGAGGUCUUGAACAAAGCUAACCAGGGCAGUCUUAAAUGAAAUUGAAGGCAGGGGUGCACUGUAGGGAAGGAAAGGAUGCUGGGAUGGAGGAAUCCUUUGGGCUGCAAACCCACUCUUGGCCAAAUUGCUGUUUAACUUCUCUGACAGCAUCUUUCAGAGACCCAUUCAUCUUUUAUGGAUGGAGGGCUGCAAGCACUCCCUCUUCAUCCCCAGUUUUGUUCUUAAAAACUGUUCCAUCAGAGAGAUCUAUGAAGGGCUCAGUUCCCAGCUGACAAGCUAUCUAUUUAGAGUUGAUAUGCCUGAGAACAUUCACCAGGCCUUAUUAAUGGGAAAGUGCUGAAGGGAGCAAACCCACAAGCAGCCACCACAGAAACAUGUUUCCAUUAUCAGUUAAUGUUCCCCAGCAUGGUGAAACAGCACAUCCUCGCUCCUCCUCAUCUCCUUGCUUUGGUGCUCAAGAUCAGCUUAGCCCCCAGGAAGGGGUCUGUCUGGGGAGAGCACAGCAAGGCAACACAUGGACACCCAUCUCACAAGGGCUUGAAGUUGGAUACUCCAGUGCUCCAGGCCUGCAGCUGCAAUGCCAAGAAGGCGCAUCCAGGGUUAUGGUUAUCCGUGGUGGAUGGCUCUGGUUGAGGAGCUGUGUCCUCACCGCGGACCGCAGCGCUUCUCUCGGUGUGGAAGAACAUCUCACGCUGCAAUAAGGAGGUAGGAAUAGUAGGGUCGCAUCUACUGGGGGUUGGAGAAGCAGCCAAGCUGAGGAUGGAGCAAGCUGAAGCAAUCUCCAAAGCACGCUGGCAGCCUGAAGCAUUUUAACCCUCGUUGCAAAGAUCCCAAAAGACAGAGUGGGUGGAAAAUGAAAUCUGAGGUAAAAAGGGCUGGGGGCAGGUAUGGCUUCAGCGUUUGCUUCCCAGAGAAAACUUCUCCCUCCAGCGCAUCUUCAUUCAAGCUGGGAAAAUAAAGCAAAUGAAAUAAAAGCCUUCCUCCCAAACCACAUCAGCAAAGAAAUUUAGGUGAUUGCAUUCACGUCCGCGUGCCCCGGGCAAUGUUUUACUCCUGGUGCACUGAGAAGCAAAGCAUGACCUCGCCUCCUUGAAAUCAAAGAUUUACCCGUGAACGCUCGCAGAGCUCAUCGAAACAGGAGAAGCGCGGAGCUGAGAUGAAUGGACAAUCAGGUCGUGGCUGUUUCCUCUCCCUAAUGCGUGUGUAAAUAAAUGCAGCAUCUCCAGCCAGGCGAUGACACAUCAGAUAUGACUGAUCCACUGCUUUUUCUGGCUUAACAUUUCCAACUUUGGGGUUUUCCGAGUAGAAAAAAAAGCCUCCUUCUGAUAAAUACUUGUGGUUGUGGAGCUUGUGUUUAACUUGACAGCAGGACAAAACCAGAGAAGGCCAUGAAACAAGAGGCUAAAUAUGGGUAUUAAGCAUGAGAAAACCUUGAGAUGAGGGAUAGGAUUGCGAGACCUGAAUAGCUGAGAGGAGCUGAUGGAGACAUCCAAAGCAAUGAAUGUUAAUCUCUCUGUCAUCCAUCACCAUCCAGGAGAUGGUCCAAGUGCCCCAUUUCACACCUCGGAGUGGCCGGCAGAUGUGUGGUGUGAGGAGCCAGCAGGAUUUGGGCUCUGAUCCCAACACAGCUUUGCACCAGCACUGGGCAUCUCCAUCCCCAUGUAAGGGAUGAAGCCAUGCACCUCUCCCAGUCACUGUGCUGCCUUUAUGGGUGAGCUGCAUGAUUGCACACAAGGCCCCAGUGCGGCCAAAUGGAACAGUAAAUCUUCCCCCCGAGA